CUUUGGGUCUUUAACACUCAGCUCUAUAAGCACUUAAAAGACAACAUCUGAGCUUGUGCCAGAGUCACUUUCAGCUGUAGGGACAGAAACAAGUUUUCUGUGACUUCACUGAGGUUGUCUAAUAUGAAAAAUGUGAAAAACAGCUGCCUUCUUUAAGAGUUCUGGCUUGCUGGGCUCAGACAUUCAGGGUGCCUGAGCCAUAGAGUCCCCUUCAGAUAGAGAAGCAUACCCAACUCCUGACUUUUGGCCACCCACUUCUGAAAGUGGCUUCAUAUUUGGAUAGAGCCUAGGAAAAUUCAUUCUGGAAGGGAUCCCACUAAAUCUGUAGUUUGGUUUCUUGCUUUGAGGUCAAAGUUAGGCAGGGUUUUUAUCCACUGUGGCUUCCAGAUGGAGAUGACACUUUGCUCAGAGCAGGUGAAGACUGAGCCACUGGCUCCUGGUUACCAGGAAUCUGAGUAGCCAGCAUAGAAAUAAGCUCAAGUACAGAAUGCUGCUCAUUUCAUAAAAAUAAAAGUAAAAAUUGAUCUUCCUGAGGUGGUCUCUCUAAAACACAGGGUUUUGAGUUGUCGCAGUUCCUACAAAACACGUGGGAUGCUACCUGGUCCAGGAAAAGUCUGAGGUUUAAACUACUUAUUUAGAAGAUGAGGAUUGAGUGCUUUGACAUAGCAUAUAAUUCAGUAUUUAUUUAUUUAUUUUACAACAUGACACAACUUUAACAGCAAACCAAAAGAGACUGAAGUUUCAAAGCACAAUAUAGCUGCACGAGGGCACUGUUUUAUCUCAUACUGUGCAGAAACACACUGAACUACUAUCUUCUGUUCCUUCUGUAUCAACACCACAGAUUCUGCUUGCUGUUUUUUUUUGCAAAGGGAAGUUGGACCUGCUAAGUAGUAGGAGAAGAAUCUAGCUGGAGGUCCCAUCCUGCUGCUUUGUGGUUCUUCCCAGUUGCCCUCUUACCCCUCAAUAACUUCUUACCUACUCUUUUUCUUCCACAGGCAUAGUUGUCAGCACUAAUCCCAUUUUCCUGCAUACAGUAAGACACACCCUAGCUUUCCUAUCUCAUGCACCCACAUCAAAGGCUAAAAGGUUCAUAUUUUAGGCUCCCAUCUGUCUGGAGUGACACCUGAUGGGAGUGAUAUCCUGAUGAGCAUCAGGUGCAGCCCUGCAGGAAAUAAGUGCUGAGUGGGAGCCCAGCCGUGGUUCCUUCAGCCCAGAUACCUACCGACUCCUCCCAGAAUGGUCAGACCAAAGCUGAGAGGUUGCCCUUUCCCACUGACAAAGCAAGACAUUGCACUGGAAGCCCCUAGGAGAACAAGUUUCUGCAUGACAUUCUACAAGAACCUAUAGGUGCUGCGUAACUGGAAACAAGCUGAAAACUGUUCUGUAAGCUGUGGGAGCAAUGACAUCUGAUUUAAUCCAGAUACCAUCAAAGAAGUGUGACGCUGAAUAUAAUUAAAAAGAGACCUUUACAGCAUUAAGACAUUAACAUUGUAAGAUGGGUAGAUCUGUGAAUUAAGGAAGCAUUGACUUUUUCUCUUUGUUAGCUGAGUGACUGAAGACACCUUUGGUAAGUACAAAAAGUGAUUUUUUUUUUUACUAAAUUAGUCUUAAUUGGAUUUACCUGUUGCUGUUAUACCAAAACCUCAAAUAGAACCUGGUAAAGGUGUGUUUUCAUGGCUGUACUUGCAGUAGCUUUUUGCCCACCUCAAGAUCUGCCAUUGGGACACACAGACCAGCUGCAGCCACACAGCUCCUGCUGCAUAGAUCGCUGUCCUCCAUAUUGCUUUCCCCUCUGAACAUCCACACACGUACCUGUGACUGACAGAAACUAUUUGAAAGGUACAACACACUAUGGCUGGGACUCUUUGAAGAUCCCUCCAACAUUUGUUCCUAAGCAAACCCAAGAUGGGACUGUUCUCUAGACAAGACCACAUAUGUUCAGACAUCAAAAUCUUGUCUGCUUUCACCAUAACUGCCUGAGGUUAAUCACUUCCCACCUGUCAAUGAAUCCCAAGUGACUAUUUUUAUUUUUCAUUAAAUAGUUACUGAGGAAUGUAACAGCUGAGUGCUUGCCUUCAAUUGAAAGCCUGUGAGAAAAACUUUAAUGUUCUCUUUCCAAAAUACCAGGGUUUUGCUGUUUUGCACUCCACACCUUUAUAGAACAUCCACGUCACAGAAAUCAGCCACAGCACCUACCACCCUCCCCCCCACCGCUGUUGUGCUCCAGACCAGAGAGUGCUGUGCUGGGGCUGUCCUGGCAGUACCUCCAUCCCUGCCCCCUGCAGCUGCUUCAGAUUCAGCUCAUUAGGAAAAUCUGACUGCCUUUCCUAUUACAGAAUAGCAACUUGAAAGAUUUUAAAUAAAAUAUAUUCAUAGAAUCAUAGAAUUGUUCAGUUUGGAAAAGACCUUAAAAAUCAUCGAGUCCAACCACAACCUAACCAUACUACCCUAACUCUAAUAAUCCUCUGCUAAAUCAUGUCCCUGAGCACCACAUGCAAACAGUUUUUAAAUACAUCCAGGGAUGGUGGCUCAACCACCUCCCUGGGGAGCUUAUUCCAGUGCUUAACAACCCUUUCUGUAACUUAAACUUUCCCUGGUGCAACUUGAGGCCAUUUCCCCUCAUCCUGUCAGCUGUCACUAGAAGAGAAGACCAACCCCACUCUUGCUGUAAUUAUCCUUCAGAUAUUAUUAUUCAGAUUAUUAUUGUUCAUAAAUAUUCAUAUUCAUAUUUUUUAAUAUUCAAAUAAUAUUUUUUUAAAAAGUUGAAAUGCAAAUAAAUAUAUUGCCUGGUACUUCACUGUCUUAUUUAGUGUAGAUAUAGUUUAAAAAUAACCUCUAGAGUAGAUAUCAUAGAACUAGAGAAUCAUACAAUCAUCUAGGUUGGAAAAGACCUUCAAGAUCACCAAGUACAACCAUAAGCCUGACCUACUGGCUCCCGUCACUAAACCAUGUCCCUUAGUGUCAUGGCCACAUAUCUUCCAAUACCUCCAGGAGCAGGGACUUCAUCACCUCCCUGGGUAGCCCUGUCCGAUGACUGAUCUCUUUCUCUGUGAAGAGAUCCUUCC
Long non-coding RNA from Lagopus muta (rock ptarmigan), 3065 nucleotides. RefSeq lists it as uncharacterized. The transcript has 3 exons. NCBI's taxonomy places the organism in Eukaryota, Metazoa, Chordata, Aves, Galliformes, Phasianidae. The record is from RefSeq and is a predicted model, not a curated record.